CCUCUCUCCUUGCAAGCUCCCCAGCUUGGUCCCCAGCGCCACCGCCUCCGCCGCGGGUCAGGUCUGUCCUAUUGGGCGGAGACUCCCAGGUGACCUGGAAGCCCUUGCCCGGGGGGUGGAGCCGGAACCGAGCACCUGCAGUUCCGCCUCUUUCCAUCAGGGGGCGCGCCAGCACCGUUUCUUGCAACGGCUGUCCAAAUCCUGCCUGACUCCCUGCCCUUUCCGGCCAGCUUUCAGAAAGGCCAGAUAAAAGCUGGGGCAACUCGCGGGCUCCGCCAAUGAGGUAUACAAGGCUGAUUCCUAAGAGGAUGCUGUCUCCAGGGAGAUGGUCUUCACUUUCAGAAAGGGGAAUGCCACUUGCAGAGACUGACCUAGAAGCUGGGCUGGAGGCAGAGAAGAGUAUUACUUGGAACUCUGCAGACUGGUAUCUCAUCUUGCUUCUGCUACGGAUCCACAGGUGCUCUUUGGGCAGGUAACUUACCCUGCAAGGGCGUCCGUCUUCCCAGUGGUAAAAUGAAGGUAUUGAACUAGAUCAGUGGUUCUCAACCACAGGGAAGGUGAGGAGGGAUUGUUUUUCAACCACGCAACUCCCACUACACAGCAUACUUUAAUACUCUGCUACUCAAAGUGUCCUUGGACUGCCAGCAUCAGCACCAUCUGGAAGCUUGUGAAAAAUGCAGAAUCUUGGGCCCCACCUCAGACCUACUGAACAAGAAGCUGCACGCUAACAAGACUCCCAGGUAUAAAGUUUGGGAAGCACUGCUCUGAUAUACCCCCAAGUGAUAUAACCUGGUGGGGGGUUGGGAAGUCCAUCGAAGUCUCUUGAAAAACUCCACGGUUGAUUCUCAAAUGCCCUCUCCCAGGUGGGAAUAACUAGACUGUUUGGUUCCUGAGGUUCUUUUCAAAUCUACACUGCUAGGAUGCUGAGCAGUCAGGCUCACCAGGAUUAACGGGUAAAUGAAGGCCGCAUCGGGGGCUGGCCCCGUGGCCGAGCGGUUAAGUUCGCGCGCUCCGCUGCAGGCGGCCCAGUGUUUCGUUGGUUCGGGUCCUGGGCACGGACAUGACACUGCUCAUCGGACCACGCUGAGGCGGCGUCCCACAUGCCACAACUGGAAGGACCCACAACAAAGAAUAUACAGCUAUGUACCGGGGGGCUUUGGGAAGAAAAAGGAAAAAAUAAAAAAAUCUUUAAAAAAAAAAAA
RNAcentral lists this long non-coding RNA (1202 nucleotides) under Equus asinus (donkey). RNAcentral's name for it is "lncRNA (ENSEASG00005027291.1)". Lineage: Eukaryota; Metazoa; Chordata; Mammalia; Perissodactyla; Equidae. The record is from RNAcentral.